GCGCACGUGGCGGAAUUGGUAGACGCGUUAGGUUGAGGGCCUAAUAAUCAUUAUGAUUGUGGAAGUUCGAGUCUUCUCGUGCGCAC
Molecule: transfer RNA, 86 nt
Filed under: Flavobacteriales bacterium
Lineage: Bacteria; Pseudomonadati; Bacteroidota; Flavobacteriia; Flavobacteriales
Description: tRNA-Leu
Rfam family: tRNA
About the family: Transfer RNA (tRNA) molecules are approximately 80 nucleotides in length. Their secondary structure includes four short double-helical elements and three loops (D, anti-codon, and T loops).
Source: RNAcentral